UACGGGGGGAGCAAGCGUUGUUCGGAUUUACUGGGCGUAAAGGGCGCGUAGGCGGCGCAACAAGUCACUUGUGAAAUCUCCGGGCUUAACCCGGAGCGGCCAAGUGAUACUGUCGUGCUAGAGUGCGGAAGGGGCUACUGGAAUUCUCGGUGUAGCGGUGAAAUGCGUAGAUAUCGAGAGGAACACCUGCGGCGAGGGCGGGUAGCUGGGCCGACACUGACGCUGAGGCGCGAAAGCCAGGGGAGCGAACGGG
RNAcentral lists this ribosomal RNA (253 nucleotides) under uncultured bacterium. RNAcentral's name for it is "partial 16S ribosomal RNA". It matches the Rfam family "Bacterial small subunit ribosomal RNA", at positions 524 to 776 of the family's 1533-position model. The record is from RNAcentral.